GGAUUGUAAUUAAAUGUAUAUUUUGAGUUUUAUAGCCUUACUGCCAGGACCACCGUGCUUUUGUUCGAUUUCAGUCAAGACUGGCAUGGGCUGUGCUUGAAAACAUCGAAUGACAAGAGGCAAAGGUCUCGCAUUUUUUGACAAGCCAUCGUCUGCAAAGUUCCACAAUUACACUAAGCCAGCCCUCCAACUCUGAAUGCGGUGACAAUUAUGGGAACAGACAAUUGCCGCGUAGUCCUCAGGGAGGUAUCUGGCCAAGUGCAGGCCCCUUGAGAAAAUGUCUAAUUGCGGCAACUUAAACUCCAAAUAAGCACUUAAUUUACCAGGCAAGUGCACCAAGUUUCCACUUACGACCGCCA
Long non-coding RNA from Drosophila biarmipes, 359 nucleotides. RefSeq lists it as uncharacterized. The record is from RefSeq and is a predicted model, not a curated record. Lineage: Eukaryota; Metazoa; Arthropoda; Insecta; Diptera; Drosophilidae. The transcript has 3 exons.